GCUUAAGGGUGCGUAGGYGGYUGUUUAAGUCUGAUGUGAAAUCCCUGAGCUCAACUGAGGAAYUGCGUUUGAUACUGWUUKGCUAGAGUGUUUUACAGGUGAGCGGAAUUKCCAGUGUAACGGUGAAAUGCUGUUGAUAUUGGGAAGAACACCAGUGGCGAAGGCGGCUCACUGGGGCAUWACUGACGCUGAGGCACGAAAGCCWGGGGAGCGAACGGGAUUAGAUACCCCGGUAGUCCUGGCCGUAAACKAUGAAURCUGGGCGGGAGGGGGUUUCCCCUUUCUGCCGUAGCCWAAGSGUUGAGUAUUCCCCCCGGGGAGGAUGGGCCCCAGGAUGAAACUCAAAGGAAUUGGC
RNAcentral lists this ribosomal RNA (355 nucleotides) under uncultured bacterium. RNAcentral's name for it is "partial 16S ribosomal RNA". It matches the Rfam family "Bacterial small subunit ribosomal RNA", at positions 559 to 914 of the family's 1533-position model. The record is from RNAcentral.